UAUUCGUUUAUUUUAAACAUGAUUUGAUGGUGAACAAAAUCCAAGACGUUUAUUCCUGGCCUAAAGAUGAAUCAUUUAUUCAAGAUAUACGUGUGAUACAAUGGCGCAAGAAAUACGCACAAUCAAGAAAUAAAAUAUCUAAAUUAUAAUACGUAUAAACGUCGAAGAAAUCCAGAGGUAAAAUGGAAAUAAUAGAACGGCUGAAGAACUUACUUCCACUAACCAAUUCGGGAACUGUCGAUCUGAUCUGGUCCAUAGCGGUCAUUGUACUCGCGAUCAUAAUAUUUUUUACUUUGAGGAAAAAUUAGUAUUUGGAGAAGAUUACUCUUCGAUUUUGUAUGCAGCGUUGUUCGGAAAAAAUUAUCAGGUUCGUCUUUUGCCCGGAAAAUGCAGCUUUAUUGUUUCUCCUCGUAUACAGCGGACUAAUUGGAGUGCUAAUUGCUCGAACAAUCACAUAUGUCGCACGUCAAGCUUAAUUCAAGGUGAAGAUUAAAAUGAUGGUGCUCACCAGAUAACACGAUGACGCAGCUGCACGAGGAAGAGGACGAUCAUCGGCAACC
Molecule: long non-coding RNA, 560 nt
Organism: Trachymyrmex cornetzi
Lineage: Eukaryota; Metazoa; Arthropoda; Insecta; Hymenoptera; Formicidae
Exons: 3
Source: RefSeq, a predicted model, not a curated record